RNAcentral lists this ribosomal RNA (484 nucleotides) under uncultured bacterium. RNAcentral's name for it is "partial 16S ribosomal RNA". It matches the Rfam family "Bacterial small subunit ribosomal RNA", at positions 30 to 507 of the family's 1533-position model. The record is from RNAcentral.
AUUGAACGCUGGCGGCAGGCCUAACACAUGCAAGUCGAGCGGAUGAAGGGAGCUUGCUCCUGGAUUCAGCGGCGGACGGGUGAGUAAUGCCUAGGAAUCUGCCUGGUAGUGGGGGAUAACGUCCGGAAACGGGCGCUAAUACCGCAUACGUCCUGAGUGAGAAAGUGGGGGAUCUUCGGACCUCACGCUAUCAGAUGAGCCUAGGUCGGAUUAGCUAGUUGGUGGGGUAGAGGCCUACCAAGGCGACGAUCCGUAACUGGUCUGAGAGGAUGAUCAGUCACACUGGAACUGAGACACGGUCCAGACUCCUACGGGAGGCAGCAGUGGGGAAUAUUGGACAAUGGGCGAAAGCCUGAUCCAGCCAUGCCGCGUGUGUGAAGAAGGUCUUCGGAUUGUAAAGCACUUUAAGUUGGGAGGAAGGGCAGUAAGUUAAUACCUUGCUGUUUUGACGUUACCAACAGAAUAAGCACCGGCUAACUUCGUG